AGCGAACGCUGGCGGCAGGCCUAACACAUGCAAGUCGAGCGAACAGUUCGGGGUUAGUGGCGUACGGGUGUGUAACACGUCGGAACGGGCCUAUAUGGUCGGAAUAACUCAGGGAAACGGGUAAUAAUACCGAAUGGGACCUUCGGGGGAAAGAUUUAUCGAAGUUAGAGCGGCCAGAGUCUGAUUAGCUAGUUGGUUGAGGUAAUGGCGCACCAAGGCGACGAUCAGUAGCUGGUCUGUGAGGGUGAUAAGCCACAUAGGGACUGAGACACGGCACAGACUCCUCCGGGAUGCAGCAGUGGGGGAUCGUGCGCCGUCGGCGGAAGCCUGACGCAGCCAUGCCGCGUGAAUGCUGAAGGUAUUAGGAUUGUAAAAUUCUUGCACCGGGGACCAUCAUGACGGUACCCGGAGAAGAAGCCCCGGCUAACUUCGUG
Molecule: ribosomal RNA, 434 nt
Filed under: uncultured bacterium
Lineage: Bacteria
Description: partial 16S ribosomal RNA
Rfam family: Bacterial small subunit ribosomal RNA
Source: RNAcentral